UACGGGGGGUGCAAGCGUUAAUCGGAAUCACUGGGCGUAAAGGGUGCGUAGGCGGUACGUUAGGUCUGUCGUGAAAUCCCCGGGCUCAACCUGGGAAUGGCGGUGGAAACCGGUGUACUAGAGUAUGGGAGAGGGUGGUGGAAUUCCCAGUGUAGAGGUGAAAUUCGUAGAUAUUGGGAAGAACACCGGUGGCGAAGGCGGCCACCUGGCCCAAUACUGACGCUGAGGCACGAAAGCGUGGGGAGCAAACAGG
This 253-nucleotide ribosomal RNA is filed under the name uncultured Acidithiobacillus sp. Its description in RNAcentral is "partial 16S ribosomal RNA". It matches the Rfam family "Bacterial small subunit ribosomal RNA", at positions 524 to 776 of the family's 1533-position model. The record is from RNAcentral. Lineage: Bacteria; Pseudomonadati; Pseudomonadota; Acidithiobacillia; Acidithiobacillales; Acidithiobacillaceae.